Molecule: long non-coding RNA, 2583 nt
Organism: Mytilus californianus (California mussel)
Lineage: Eukaryota; Metazoa; Mollusca; Bivalvia; Mytilida; Mytilidae
Exons: 3
Source: RefSeq, a predicted model, not a curated record
UAUACGACCGCAAACAAUUUUUGCGGUCGUAUAUUGGUAUGACGUUGGCGUCGUCGUCGUCCGGCAUCGUCAUCGUCCGUAGACACAUUGGUUUUCGCACAAUAACUUUAGUUUAAGUGAAUGGAUCUCCAUGAAAUUUUACCAUAAGGUUCAAUACCACAAAAGGAAGGUUGGGAUUGAUUUUGGGGGUUAUGGUACCAACAGUUAAGGAAUUAGGGGCCAAAAAUAAGCAUUUUUGUAACUUCCAGACAAUAACUUGUGUGUUAGUGUAUGGAUCGCUCUGACAUUGUACCACAAGGUUCCAUAUCACUAAAGGAAUGCUGGGAUUGAUUUUGGGGGUAAUUGCCUCAAAAUUUUAGGAAUUGGGUGCCAAAAAAGGGGCAAAAAACAUGCAUUUUUCUAGUUUCAUGAUAAUAACUUGUGUGUAAGUGUGUGGAUCUUUCUGAAAUUGUACUACAAGGUUCCAUAUCACAAAGGGAAAGCUCGAAUUGAGUUUUGGGGUAAUUGCCCAAAACGUUUAGGAAUAAGGGGCCAAAAAGGGGCAAAAAAUAAGCAUUUUUCUCUUUUCCAGACAAUAACUUGUGUUCAAGUGUAUGGAUCUCUCUGAAAUUGUACUGCAAGGUACCACACCACAAAGGGAAGGCUGGGAUUGAUUUUUAGGGUAAUUGCCUCAAAAUUUAAGGAAUUAGGGGCCAAAAGGGGGGAAAAAACAAGCAUUUUUCUAGUUUCAUGACAAUAACUUGUGUGUAAGUGUAUGGAUCUUUAUGAAAUUGUACUACAAGGUUCCAUAUCACAAAGGGAAGGCUGGGAUUGAUUUUGGGGGUAAUUGCCUCAAAAUUUUAGGAAUUAGGGGCCAAAAAAGGGGCAAAAAACAAGCAUUUUUCUAGUUUCAUGACAAUAACUUGUGUGUAAGUGUAUGGAUCUUUCUGAAAUUGUACUACAAGGUUCCAUAUCAAAAAGGGAAAGCUGGAAUUGAGUUUGGGGGUAAUUGCCCAAAACGUUUAGGAAUAAGGGGCAGAAAAGGGGCAAAAAAUAAGCAUUUUUCUAGUUUCCAGACAAUAACUUGCGUUCAAGUGGAUGGAUCUCUCUGAAAUUGUACUGCAAGGUACCAUACCACAAAGGGAAGGCUGGGAUUGAUUUUGGGGGUAAUUGCCUCAAAAUUUUAGGAAUUAGGGGCCAAAGAGGGGCAAAAAACAAGCAUUUUUCUAGUUUCAGGACAAUAACUUGUGUGUAAGUGUAUGGAUCUUUCUGAAAUUGUACUACAAGGUUCAAUAUCACAAAGGGAAAGCUGGGUUUAAGUUUGGGGGUAAUUGCCUAAAACGUUUAGGAAUUUGGGGCCAAAAAGGGGCCAAAAAACAAGCAUUUUCUAGUUUCCAGACAAUAACUUGUGUUCAAGUGUAUGGAUCUCUCUGAAAUUGUACUGCAAGGUACCAUACCACAAAGGGAAGGCUGGGAUUGAGUUUGGGGGUGAUGAAUCAUAAGGGGGUUCAAAAAAUUUGGGGGGAGGGAUUUUUUUUUUUUUUAAUUUUCAAUUUUAAAUUGGUUAUUUCUGAUUUAUAUAUUAAAGCUAAUAAUAAUGAUAUGGUUUGAAUAGGUAAAUUGAAAAUUUAUAAUUUCUUAGACCACAUUCAUUCUGUGUCAGAAACCUAUAUUGUGUCAAAUAUUUAAUCACAAUCCAAAUUCAGUGUGUAUCAAGCUUAAAUGUUGUGUCCAUACUUGCCCCAACUGUUCAGGGUUCGACCUCUGCGGUCGUAUCAAGCAGCGCCCAGCGGAGCAUUUUAUCUGAAGUCAAAUUGAGUAAAAUUUUAACACAUUGUAAAGAUUGAUGAAGAAAACUAAUACAAUUUAGGCAACUGUAUGAGUAAUUGUUUUGGGGGAAUUUAAAUAGUUUUUACAAUUCCAUUAAAGUAUGAAAGCUCUCUAUGUAUAUUGAAGAUUGUCUUAAUAGUUUUUUUGUUUUUUUUUGAGUAAUGGAGGAUGAGGUGCAAUAUGACUCUUUGUACCACAAAACAAAUUUAUAAAUAUCAGUUUUUCAUUUUUUAUAAAAUUUCACCAAAAUAUAAAGAUUUUAUUGACUUUACCAGGUUUACCAGAAAAGUGAUAAAAGUAGAUUCAAAUUAUACAUCUGUAAGUGAUUUGCAAACAAAUCAGACCAUAUACUGUAUAUUCAGAAAUUAUUGCAAGGUUUUUAUUAAUCGAGUAAUUGGACUGGAUAAGAAUACAUAUAUUUGUAUACCGACCUUUCUGAAAUCACAAUAAUUAAUCUCGAAUUUUUGUUCAUACUUCAAAAAUCGCAAUAAUAAAUGCAUACAAUAAUUUCUGAAUUAACAGUUAUCUUGCAAAGAAUACUAUUAAUUGUUGCUCAUAAUAUUUUCAUGUAUAUAAUAUUAUUUUAAUACUCAUGACAUAAGGGAAUUAUUUACUUAUGUAAGGGUCAAAGAGAACAAAGUAUGAAUAGAGACAUUUGUGGCAAAGAUAUAAAUUGUACAAUUUUAUGUGUCUUGUUUUAAGUGAUGCUAUGAUUGUCCUAAAUUUACAGCAUGUUCAACAACUGUGAUGUGAAAAUAAAAGGAUUAUAACAAG